AUUGAACGCUGGCGGCAGGCUUAACACAUGCAAGUCGAGCGGGGAAGGGUAGCUUGCUACCUAACCUAGCGGCGGACGGGUGAGUAAUGCUUAGGAAUCUGCCAUUUAGUGGGGGACAACAUUCCGAAAGGAAUGCUAAUACCGCAUACGUCCUACGGGAGAAAGCAGGGGAUCUUCGGACCUUGCGCUAAAUGAUGAGCCUAAGUCGGAUUAGCUAGUUGGUGGGGUAAAGGCCUACAAAGGCGACGAUCUGUAGCGGGUCUGCGAGGAUGAUCCGCCACACUGGGACUGAGACACGGCCCAGACUCCUACGGGAGGCAGCAGUGGUGAAUAUUGGACAAUGGGCGGAAGCCUGAUCCAGCCAUGCCGCGUGUGUGAAGAAGGCCUUAUGGUUGUAAAGCACUUUAAGCGAGGAGGAGGCUACUUAGAUUAAUACUCUAGGAUAGUGGACGUUACUCGCAGAAUAAGCACCGGCUAACUCUGUGCCAGCAGCCGCGGUAA
This 501-nucleotide ribosomal RNA is filed under the name uncultured bacterium. RNAcentral's name for it is "partial 16S ribosomal RNA". It matches the Rfam family "Bacterial small subunit ribosomal RNA", at positions 30 to 523 of the family's 1533-position model. The record is from RNAcentral.